This 392-nucleotide ribosomal RNA is filed under the name uncultured Lachnospiraceae bacterium. RNAcentral's name for it is "bacterial SSU rRNA". It matches the Rfam family "Bacterial small subunit ribosomal RNA", at positions 355 to 762 of the family's 1533-position model. The record is from RNAcentral. Lineage: Bacteria; Bacillati; Bacillota; Clostridia; Lachnospirales; Lachnospiraceae.
GGGGAAGUAUUGCACAAUGGAGGAAACUACUGAUGCAGCGACGCCGCGUGAGCGAUGAAGUAUUUCGGUAUGUAAAGCUCUAUCAGCAGGGAAGAUAAUGACGGUACCUGAGUAAGAAGCUCCGGCUAAAUACGUGCCAGCAGCCGCGGUAAUACGUAUGGAGCAAGCGUUAUCCGGAUUUACUGGGUGUAAAGGGAGUGUAGGCGGCUUUGCAAAGUCAGAUGUGAAAGCCCGGGGCUCAACCCCGGGACUGCAUUUGAAACUGUGAAGCUGGAGUGUCGGAGAGGUAAGUGGAAUUCCUAGUGUAGCGGUGAAAUGCGUAGAUAUUAGGAAGAACACCAGUGGCGAAGGCGGCUUACUGGACGAUUACUGACGCUGAGGCUCGAAAGCGU